UUGGUCAACCCUUGGUCAAUGGAUGGUCAACCCUUGGUCAACCAUUCAUCAACCCUUGGUCAACGGUUGGUCAGCCACUGGUCAACCCUUGGUCAAUGGUUGGUCAACCAUUCAUCAACCCUUGGUCAACCAUUCAUCAACCCUUGGUCAACCCUUGGUCAACCCUUGGUCAACCCUUGGUCAACGAUUCAUCAACCCUUGGUCAACCAUUCAUUAAUCCUUGGUCAACCCUUGGUCAAUCGUUGGUCAACCGUUCAUCAACAAUUGGUCAACCCUUGGUCAAUGGUUGGUCAGCCACUGGUCAACCCUUGGUCAAUGGUUGGUCAACCAUUCAUCAACCCCUGGUCAACCAUUCAUCAACCCUUGGUCAACCCUUGGUCAACGGUUGGUCAGCCAUUCAUCAACCCUUGGUCAACCAUUCAUUAAUCCUUGGUCAACCCUUCGUCAAUCGUUGGUCAACCGUUCAUCAACAAUUGGUCAACCCUUGGUCAAUGGUUGGUCAACCAUUCAUCAACCCUUGGUUAACCCUUGGUUAACCCUUGGCCAACCAUUCAUCAACCUUGGUUAACC
Molecule: long non-coding RNA, 570 nt
Filed under: Numida meleagris (helmeted guineafowl)
Lineage: Eukaryota; Metazoa; Chordata; Aves; Galliformes; Numididae
Description: lncRNA (ENSNMEG00000003042.1)
Source: RNAcentral